This 559-nucleotide ribosomal RNA is filed under the name Dendropsophus sarayacuensis (Shreve's Sarayacu treefrog). Its description in RNAcentral is "partial large subunit ribosomal RNA". It matches the Rfam family "Bacterial large subunit ribosomal RNA", at positions 1830 to 2588 of the family's 2925-position model. Lineage: Eukaryota; Metazoa; Chordata; Amphibia; Anura; Hylidae. The record is from RNAcentral.
UCGCCUCUUGAGCCCUAUAAGAGGUCUAGCCUGCCCAGUGACUUAGUUUAACGGCCGCGGUAUCCUAACCGUGCGAAGGUAGCGUAAUCACUUGUUCUUUAAAUGAGGACUAGUAUGAAUGGCAUCACGAGGGUUCCACUGUCUCCUUUUUCCAAUCAAUGAAACUGAUCUUCCCGUGAAGAAGCGGGAAUCUUAAUAUUAGACGAGAAGACCCUAUGGAGCUUCAAACUAAAUAGCACUGGCUUUUCCCCUAUAUACCUCAAGGGGUAUUAACCCUUAUUCUAGCCUUUUAACUAUUAGUUUUAGGUUGGGGUGACCGCGGAGCAAAAAUUAACCUCCACAAUGAAUAGCACUAUUCUUGAGCCAAAAGCCACAACUUUAAGCACUAACAAACUAACAUAAAUUGACCCAAUAUUUUGAACAACGAACCAAGUUACCCUAGGGAUAACAGCGCAAUCCUCUUCAAGAGCCCUUAUCGACAAGUGGGUUUACGACCUCGAUGUUGGAUCAGGAUAUCCCAGUGGUGCAGCCGCUACUAAAGGUUCGUUUGUUCAACGAU